GCUUCCGUAGCUCAGUGGAUUAGAGCGCUUGCUUGCGGAGCAAUAGGUCGCAGGUUCGAGUCCUGCCGGGAGCACCA
This 77-nucleotide transfer RNA is filed under the name Chloroflexota bacterium. RNAcentral describes it as "Chloroflexi bacterium (freshwater metagenome) tRNA-Arg". It matches the Rfam family "tRNA". From Rfam's summary of the family: Transfer RNA (tRNA) molecules are approximately 80 nucleotides in length. Their secondary structure includes four short double-helical elements and three loops (D, anti-codon, and T loops). Lineage: Bacteria; Bacillati; Chloroflexota. The record is from RNAcentral. RNAcentral also lists the same sequence under 1 other name.